This 497-nucleotide ribosomal RNA is filed under the name uncultured bacterium. RNAcentral describes it as "partial 16S ribosomal RNA". It matches the Rfam family "Bacterial small subunit ribosomal RNA", at positions 28 to 507 of the family's 1533-position model. The record is from RNAcentral.
GAUGAACGCUGGCGGCGUGCCUAAUACAUGCAAGUCGAGCGAACAGACGAGGAGCUUGCUCCCCUGACGUUAGCGGCGGACGGGCGAGUAACACGUGGAUAACCUACCUAUAAUACUGGGAUAACUUCGGGAAACCAGAGCUAAUACCGGAUAAUAUAUUGAACCGCAUGGUUCAAUAGUGAAAGACGGUUUUGCUGUCACUUAUAGAUGGAUCCGCGCCGCAUUAGCUAGUUGGUAAGGUAACGGCUUACCAAGGCAACGAUGCGUAGCCGACCUGAGAGGGUGAUCGGCCACACUGGAACUGAGACACGGUCCAGACUCCUACGGGAGGCAGCAGUAGGGAAUCUUCCGCAAUGGGCGAAAGCCUGACGGAGCAACGCCGCGUGAGUGAUGAAGGUCUUCGGAUCGUAAAACUCUGUUAUUAGGGAAGAACAAAUGUGUAAGUAACUAUGCACGUCUUGACGGUACCUAAUCAGAAAGCCACGGCUAACUACGUG